Long non-coding RNA from Xenia sp. Carnegie-2017, 246 nucleotides. RefSeq lists it as uncharacterized. The transcript has 3 exons. NCBI's taxonomy places the organism in Eukaryota, Metazoa, Cnidaria, Anthozoa, Malacalcyonacea, Xeniidae. The record is from RefSeq and is a predicted model, not a curated record.
GUGUCUUGCUUUUUCUUUUCCAUUUCGGACAUGUUUUUUUCUUCAACAAAUUCAUCAUCCAUCCACAACAACUUUGGUUUUCCAGAGCAAGACGAAAAUACACAAAACAAAAGCAAAAGAGUGACAGUUUUUGAAAUAACUUUCAUAUUUUCAACCAAAAGAAGAGAAACGUGUUCUUCGUGUUUCCAGUCGCCAAUGUAGCUACUUCUAUGUCGAGCGUUGACAAUUACUAUGUACUCUGAGAUG